UGAUAAACAUAUUGUGCAAUAUAGUGUAUAGGCGCCACACAUAUACGUGUGGCAAAGAGGUUCACUUUGCAACUACGUAGUUCGAAGUUUGAUCACACUGCGCUACACUGUGGGCAAGCACCAUCUUCGGUAACUUUGAAUUGAUCAGUAAUACUUUAAAUGAUAAGGACCCAUUGGAUCAAGUACUCCUAGAUAACCUAAAAAGACAGACAGUAUGAUCAUGACUAGAAUACCUUUAAUCAUAAAUAUGCUGGGUCAAUCAGGUUUGAUCAAUAACAUCGAUAACAAUUGCCUCAGUCAAUUUUUACAACAAGAUGUAAACCAGGCAUGGGCAACCUUUUUGGGGUAGCAAGCCACAUGAGACAUGACUCAUCAUCAGGAAGGCUGUGCUGCUAAAAAAA
Long non-coding RNA from Octopus bimaculoides (California two-spot octopus), 401 nucleotides. NCBI's taxonomy places the organism in Eukaryota, Metazoa, Mollusca, Cephalopoda, Octopoda, Octopodidae. The record is from RefSeq and is a predicted model, not a curated record.